Molecule: long non-coding RNA, 617 nt
Organism: Hyalella azteca
Lineage: Eukaryota; Metazoa; Arthropoda; Malacostraca; Amphipoda; Hyalellidae
Exons: 3
Source: RefSeq, a predicted model, not a curated record
CAGAACCUCGCCCCAUGCAGGUGUUCCCGAUCCCCGAGUCGGUGUUCACGGUGGACAAGAGUCGGUCCGGCAAGAGGCGCGUGGUGGUGAUGUUCUAGAUUGUUCCGAUGAUAUUCUGCAGGUGUUCCCGAUCCCCGAGUCGGUGUUCACGGUGGACAAGAGUCGGUCCGGCAAAGGACGCGUGGUGGUGAUGUUCUAGAUUGUUCCGAUAAUAUUCUGCAGGUGUUCCCGAUCCCCGAGUCGGUGUUCACGGUGGAAAAGAGUCGGUCCGGCAAAGGGCGCGUGGUGGUGAUGUUCUAGAUUGUUCCGAUAAUAUCCUGCAGGUGUUCCCGAUCCCCGAGUCGGUGUUCACGGUGGACAAGAGUCGGUCCGGCAGAGGACGCGUGGUGGUCAAGGCUGUGCAGCUCGGCGCCGGCGACGCGCCGCUCAGAUGCGAGAUUUCCGGCGAAGCUCCGUACUUCCGGACGGACGAGCGCUGGGCCAAGAUGGAGGUCGCGGUCGUGCCCUCGGACCCUCCUUCCCUCACGGGCGUCGCUGGAAUGUAUGCCCUCAACUCCCACGCCCUUGUCACCUGCACGGCGCCCCCCGCUCUGCCCAAACCCGAGCUUGAGUUCCGC